This 351-nucleotide ribosomal RNA is filed under the name Triticum aestivum (bread wheat). RNAcentral's name for it is "partial small subunit ribosomal RNA". The record is from RNAcentral. Lineage: Eukaryota; Viridiplantae; Streptophyta; Magnoliopsida; Poales; Poaceae.
AUGCAUACCUCGGCGUUAGCAAUGGUCACAUUCUUCCCUAUCCUCGCAUUCUUGUCAAUGAUGCAGUUUCUGGCAUGCGUACUGAAUCGAAGUAUUCUCCCCGAUCCCAAUCGGAACCUUUCCUUCGGCCAGCUGGUCGCAUCUUUCCAUGUCAGUUUCAUAGAAAUCAGCACCGAGCAUUACCGUAUCCUGAAGAAAUGGAGAACCACAUUUGCUGUUGUGGAAGGCUAUAAUGGAUCCCUAUUUUUGUUUAUGAUUUUUGCAAGCAAGAGGCCUAACCUUGAGGUGUACGUUGGAGCCUAUCCGAGAACGGAUUCCAACGACACUGUGCUCUACCCUGCAUUUAUCUAA